GACGAACGCUGGCGGCGUGCUUAACACAUGCAAGUCGAGCGGUAAGGCCCUUUCGGGGGUACGACGAGCGGCGAACGGGUGAGUAACACGUGGGUGACCUGCCCUCAGCUCUGGGAUAAGCCCGGGAAACCGGGUCUAAUACUGGAUAUGACUCCAUGACGCAUGUUGUGGGGUGGAAAGCCUUGUGCGGCUGAGGAUGGGCCCGCGGCCUAUCAGCUUGUUGGUGGGGUGAGGCCUACCAAGGCGACGACGGGUAGCCGGCCUGAGAGGGCGACCGGCCACACUGGGACUGAGACACGGCCCAGACUCCUACGGGAGGCAGCAGUGGGGAAUCUUGCGCAAUGGGCGAAAGCCUGACGCAGCGACGCCGCGUGAGGGAUGACGGCCUCGGUUG
This 394-nucleotide ribosomal RNA is filed under the name uncultured bacterium. RNAcentral describes it as "bacterial SSU rRNA". It matches the Rfam family "Bacterial small subunit ribosomal RNA", at positions 28 to 425 of the family's 1533-position model. The record is from RNAcentral.